This is a long non-coding RNA of Monomorium pharaonis (pharaoh ant), 1903 nucleotides long. RefSeq lists it as uncharacterized. The transcript is spliced from 2 exons. Lineage: Eukaryota; Metazoa; Arthropoda; Insecta; Hymenoptera; Formicidae. The record is from RefSeq and is a predicted model, not a curated record.
UGAUAUAACCUCUUGGUUAUUCGUGCAUCCUGUCAUCAUGACAAUGUAAAGAAGUGAUAUAGAGGAAUGAUGCUUAGAUGGUCUGACACAAAUCAGAUUUGCGCUUCCUGCCCAUUGUAAUUAUGCCAUAAAUCGUUCUUUUGAUGAAUUGUAUUCAAAGCACUUACAAAAUUGUGAUACGACGUCGCACGUAUUAUCAUCAACAAUACGAUCUUGAACGUAGAAAAAAAACAAAGAAAAGUUGCGCUUUCCCAUCUGCAUAUUAUAACUAAUUCUUUUCAUUAACAAUGGAAAAGCGAAAUUCUAUUUAUCUACUCCGCUUUUGUUAUUCUCCAGAGUGUUUGUAAGUUAAAUAUGUCUCAGUUUAUUCAAUUAUCAUUUUUUUAAUUAACACUCCAUAAGCUGAUUCGCAAUCAGAAUGAAAAAAUCUGAUAGUAAAUUUCGUUUAAAAGCUAAGGAAAAAUUCUCAUGCCUAUUAAGAGGUCUCGAAUUUCAAAAUUAUUAACAAUUUAAAAUAAACAUUUUUUUCACGAUUAAAUUACGUAUCGAAAAUAAUCUAGAUAUGAUUUCAGUAAUUUAGAAAAAGGAAGUUUUGCACGUAAGCUGCACUCUUUAAAUAAUUGUUCACCUAAUUUUUAUACUAUCACAUUUUUUUUGUUAUAUUUGAUACAGGUUUAUUAUAAUCAAAAUGUUAAUUUGUAUUUUAGCCAUCCUGGCUAAAAGGUAUCUUCCUCAGUUAGAUAAUCAAAUAAUGAUCAUUUAUAAAUCUUCUGACGUUAAACUCAGCUAGGAACACUAUCAAGACAGAGAGGGUUAUACACAAGGAAUUCCAAAGAUUUGUGGUUAUGUCAAGGAAGACUUAAAUAUGGUUCUAUCACAAAUAUUAUACUCUGAAUGAUAAUUCUAAAGAGGAUAAUAUAGAAAUGGACAACAGCAAUAGCAGACUGAAGCGGCAAACAGAGACUUACGAGUAUACACCGACGAAAACAAGAUGCCCAUUACUACUGGUUGCUGAUUAUCGAUUCUACCAGGAAAUGGACAUUAGCAGUACAAAAACUAAUUAUUUGGUACAUAUAAAAGUAAUGCAGCUAUUGUAUCUUAAUUUAUACUUAUAUGUAUAAUAAUUAAAUUUUUAAUUUAUGUUUACAAAUAAGUUUGAUUAAUAGAGUACAUAAGAUUUACAAUGACACUUUAUGGUAAGAACAUCAAGAAAAGGAUCAUUUCAAGGAGAUGAGUUUUGUCAUCAAAAAGAUCAUUAUUAACAGCAAACCUACACGAGUACAGGGUGAUGAAACGCAUUUCAAUAUGGUUUUAUACAUAUUUUUAGAAAUAUAUUUUUGUAUUAUGUUAAUAGUAUUUAAGGCAAUUAGUGUAAUAUUGCAGAUACCAACGUAUUUAUUAAUAGGAUAUUUUAAAAACAGACAAUUAUUAUCGUCAUUACAUUUUCGACACAUAACGAUAACACAUAAUGUUACACGCUAUGAUUUUGACUGUAUUUCAAAGACACUAAUUGUUUUUCUAUGCUAUUAGUGAUUUUCCAAUCUACAUCCUGAUAAAAUAGAGUAUCAAAAUCUGGAUGGUUCAUCAUUGCUUUUAAUGCUUUUUUUGCAUCAUUCCUGCAGUUAAAAUAUUAAUAUUCAUUAUAACGUUCCCUCUAUUAUUAAAGUAAAAAUUCUUAUGAAAUACAUUGUGAAAUUCUUGUAAAAAUUCUUAGUCUUAAAUUUUAAAUAAAAUUUUAACGAUGUUUUAAUAUGUGCGUAAUAAAAUCCGAAAUUUUAGAUUUGUAUAACUUAUAAUACUUCUAAAUCUUUAAAAAAACAUGUAAAUAAUUUCUAAAAAAUCACAGGAAAAAGUUGUGUAAGUGACAUUAUUCUUAAUUAUAUAUUCUUGAUGCAGAUCAAAA